RNAcentral lists this unclassified non-coding RNA (224 nucleotides) under plant metagenome. Its description in RNAcentral is "partial contains small subunit ribosomal RNA, internal transcribed spacer 1, and 5.8S ribosomal RNA". The record is from RNAcentral.
UUUCCGUAGGUGAACCUGCGGAAGGAUCAUUAGUGAAUUGAAUAUGUUAGCGGACCUCUUCGGAGUCCCUAGCAUCAAAUCAUAUCCAUAACACCUGUGAACUGUAAGGCUGUCUUGAAAACGAAAGUGAUUAGAGCGCCUGCCCAUUUUAUACAAACAUUAAAGUAACAAACGUAGUCUUAUUAUAUCUAAUAAAACUUUCAACAACGGAUCUCUUGGCUCUC